RNAcentral lists this small RNA (27 nucleotides) under Bombyx mori (domestic silkworm). RNAcentral's name for it is "ovarian small RNA-16191". The record is from RNAcentral. Lineage: Eukaryota; Metazoa; Arthropoda; Insecta; Lepidoptera; Bombycidae.
GAUUGAUGAAGACCUUUGAGGACAUUC